Molecule: ribosomal RNA, 834 nt
Filed under: Triticum aestivum (bread wheat)
Lineage: Eukaryota; Viridiplantae; Streptophyta; Magnoliopsida; Poales; Poaceae
Description: partial small subunit ribosomal RNA
Source: RNAcentral
AAGAAGAAGAGGAAGCGAGAAACUGUGAAGCAAAUAAAAUGUCGUGCUAAGAUGGUGGUGAAGCUUAAAGAUGACAAAUGGGGGGUUAUCACUUUUAUUGCGGAUCACAACCAUCCAUUGAUUGACAAGCCAUCACUUUCGAAAUACCUCUGUUCUCACCAAGGCAUCCCAUCGGAAGAGAAAAAAUUUCUGACUCACCUAAAUGACUACAACUUGAUAGCAGGUAAGAUGAUGAUGAUAAUGUCAUCAUACUAUGGCUCAGAGUUGAUUGUUCUAUACAUAGCUAAAACCAUCCAUAACCACUGUUCGAAGGCCCAUGCCCCAACUAAGGACAUUGACAUUGAAGAAACACUAAACUACUUUUGCAAGGUGAUGGAAAACGACCCAGGAUUCUUCUUUAAAUGCAAGACAGAUGCAAAAGGCAGGACAAAAAACUUGUUUUGGGUGGAUGGUGCGGCACAGAAAGCAUACACGAAGGCUUAUCAUGAUUGCAUAUCAUUUGAUGCAACUUAUCUCACGAACAUGUACAGUAUGCCGUUUGCCCCCUUCAUUGGCAUCAACAAACAUGGGCAGUCAAUUAUGCUUGGAUGUGGAUUUGUCCGGCAGGAACUAGCCUCAAGUUAUGGCUGGUUGUUUGAUGCUUUCCUAGAAGCAAUGGAUGGUUUGGCUCCGGACAACAUCAUCACGGACCAAGAUGUUGCUAUGGCACAAUCUAUCAAGAGGAAGUUCCCGGCAACGAUUCACCGUUGCUGCCGUUGGCAUAUAAUGAAGAAAGCACAAAAGAAGCUUGGGUCUAUGUUGCCUAGGAACCCGGAUUUGGUAAGACUUCAAUGA